Long non-coding RNA from Cyprinus carpio (common carp), 838 nucleotides. The record is from Ensembl. Lineage: Eukaryota; Metazoa; Chordata; Actinopteri; Cypriniformes; Cyprinidae.
CCUCAGUGGCGGCCUGAUGGAGGAGAGGAGGAAACAGCAGGGGGCAGACAGGACACUUCGAUCCUCUCACUUUGAACGCCGGGUGGAUAUGAUGUCUGACGGACGCAGACAGAUCUCAUGUAUUCAGCGCAUACUCGCACACAGCGGAGUGGACUGGCGAAUACAUUCGAUCCUCAGGGUAGAGGAGGAGAAGAAACUAAAGGGAUGACUUCAGCCACAAAGUCACUUUGACACAGCGAAUGAGGAAUCAGGUCUAUGGAACCCUUCUCUUCCCUUCUGUCAAAAGCCUGAGAGAGCAGACCAAAUGAAAAUAAGGAGCAUUUGUGGGCUAAGAGUGACAUUGGCCGAGAGGUGGAAUGGAGUGAUGGAAAGAGGAGCUUCGACUGAGAAUGAAGGCUGAUGGCUGCCACAUCACAUAGAAGUCCCACAUUCACGUAUAUCAAAAACAGCCAUGCAGCAAAUACCACAGACUCAUGCAAUACUGAAUCGUGGUUUGUUUUGACAUUAAAAUGAUUUAAGACAUUGAUUUAAUAUAGCAUUAUUCAACCUCAUGAUACAAUACAAUGGUAAUCGACAGAGGCAAGCGAGACUCUAAGUCUCUGACACAUGGAAGGGACAUUUCUUGUUUUUCUUAAGGGUAUUUAUGAGCGGGAGAAUAUGCACAAGUGAAAUAGAUUUGAAGUUCUGUAUUUUUAUAAUUGUCUUCUCUUGCUGCAAAGAUGAAGUCUUCUUGCUUAUGAGAGGUCACAAUCUUUGACCUUUCAUGCUCAUAAAAAUCACUAACUGUGAACCUGCUUGCAUCAUCUGAUUAUAAUAAUAAACAUAAACAAAAUAAUCA